Pelobates cultripes (western spadefoot toad) is the source of this 234-nucleotide non-coding RNA. The record is from the annotation of a GenBank genome assembly. NCBI's taxonomy places the organism in Eukaryota, Metazoa, Chordata, Amphibia, Anura, Pelobatidae.
GUUACAUUAUCUUUAACCCCUGCAGACGUAGAAGGACUUUACUAAAGCUAAGGCUGUAACCCUUUAUGUACCUACCUUCUGUCUAUGACAAUACCCCUCUUUAGGCGCCACCGUUGAGAGUUCUAGGCAAGGUAUAUCCAGAUAUAAUAGUUAUACCUGUGGGACUUUAAUUAGCUCUUCACCUCAGUUCCCUUGCCAUCUCACACCAAAGGAGCCAUCGAGGAAGACUUGUCC